GAAAUCACAUGAGUCAUGCUAAAUGUUGGUGAUUGUGAUAACGUAAGGGAAAAAAAUGAUGUUACCUUACUAUUAGUGUUGUCCAAAACUGGUGCCAGAAGACUCGGUAAGGCCAGAGACGCAAACGUUAGUCGUCCUAAUCAGGCGUAAAGGGUGUGUAGGCUGCUUUAAAAGUUUUAUCUUUAUUUAAGCUCUGUAAUCGUAGUAAAAUUUAUUAAAUUAAAAAAAAAUAAAUGAUAUUAAUAUUUAUAAUAUCCGUUUACGGUAAGGAUAAGAUUAAUUAAAGCUAGGAUCAAAUUGGGGAUAAACCGAAUAAUACUUAGAGUAGGGUUUAAAUCCGUAGAUACUAAGGGGAAUACUAAAGGUGAAAGCUUUUUAUCUACUAUUGAUUGACGCUGAGAAACGAAGGUGAGAAUAGGAAAUAGGAUUAGAUACCCAGAUACCUCUCACUGUCAACGAUGAAUGGUGGUUGUUAGUUUUAAAAAAAACUGGUAACGAUGUUAACACGAUAACCAUUCCGCCUUGCGAGUACGGUUGCAAAACUGAAACCAAAAAAAUUAGUCGGUCU
This 568-nucleotide ribosomal RNA is filed under the name Hypsizygus ulmarius. Its description in RNAcentral is "partial 12S ribosomal RNA". It matches the Rfam family "Bacterial small subunit ribosomal RNA", at positions 393 to 919 of the family's 1533-position model. The record is from RNAcentral. Lineage: Eukaryota; Fungi; Basidiomycota; Agaricomycetes; Agaricales; Lyophyllaceae.